CCGUAACUAUAACGGUCCUAAGGUAGCGAAAUUCCUUGUCGGGUAAGUUCCGACCUGCACGAAUGGCGUAAUGAUGGCCAGGCUGUCUCCACCCGAGACUCAGUGAAAUUGAACUCGCUGUGAAGAUGCAGUGUACCCGCGGCAAGACGGAAAGACCCCGUGAACCUUUACUAUAGCUUGACACUGAACAUUGAGCCUUGAUGUGUAGGAUAGGUGGGAGGCUUUGAAGUGUGGACGCCAGUCUGCAUGGAGCCGACCUUGAAAUACCACCCUUUAAUGUUUGAUGUUCUAACGUGGGCCCCUUACCGGGGUUGCGGACAGUGUCUGGUGGGUAGUUUGACUGGGGCGGUCUCCUCCUAAAGAGUAACGGAGGAGCACGAAGGUUGGCUAAUCCUGGUCGGACAUCAGGAGGUUAGUGCAAUGGCAUAAGCCAGCUUGACUGCGAGCGUGACGGCGCGAGCAGGUGCGAAAGCAGGUCAUAGUGAUCCGGUGGUUCUGAAUGGAAGGGCCAUCGCUCAACGGAUAAAAGGUACUCCGGGGAUAACAGGCUGAUACCGCCCAAGAGUUCAUAUCGACGGCGGUGUUUGGCACCUCGAUGUCGGCUCAUCUCAUCCUGGGGCUGUAGCCGGUCCCAAGGGUAUGGCUGUUCGCCAUUUAAAGAGGUACGUGAGCUGGGUUUAAAACGUCGUGAGACAGUUUUGUCCCUAUCUGCCGUGGGCGCUGGAAGAUUGACGGGGGCUGCUCCUAGUACGAGAGGACCGGAGUGGACUCACCUCUGGUGUACCGGUUGUCACGCCAGUGGCAUCGCCGGGUAGCUAUGUGGGGAAGAGAUAACCGCUGAAAGCAUCUAAGCGGGAAACUUGCCUGAAGAUAAGUCUUCCUGGAGGCUAGACCUCCCUAAAGAGUCGUUCGAGACCAGGACGUUGAUAGGAUGGGUGUGUAAGUGCUGUGAGGCACUCAGCUAACCAUUACUAAUUGCUCGUGAAGCUUGAUCCU
This 996-nucleotide ribosomal RNA is filed under the name human gut metagenome. RNAcentral's name for it is "bacterial LSU rRNA". It matches the Rfam family "Bacterial large subunit ribosomal RNA", at positions 1934 to 2925 of the family's 2925-position model. The record is from RNAcentral.